UUGAGUCGAUUAAGCCUCGAACUAGUUCAAAUAGGAAUUUUAAGGUGAAAUUAAGAGUUUCACAGUUCAGGGAUGACUCAAAAUGGUAAUUCGGAGUUCGAGGAUCAAUUCAGAGUCAAACCGGAAUUUUCACUAUCUAGGGGUAAAAUCGUAAUUUUACCACCCGAGGACGAAAUUGAAUUUUUCGAGAGAAUUUAGAUCAAAUUUGAUUAAAUGGAGCAUGAUAUGAGUAUAAG
Molecule: long non-coding RNA, 236 nt
Filed under: Theobroma cacao (cacao)
Lineage: Eukaryota; Viridiplantae; Streptophyta; Magnoliopsida; Malvales; Malvaceae
Description: long non-coding RNA (TCAC_LNC006424)
Source: RNAcentral